UACGGGGGGGGCAAGCGUUGUUCGGAAUUACUGGGCGUAAAGGGCCCGUAGGCGGCCAACUAAGUCAUACGUGAAAUCCCUCGGCUUAACCGGGGAACUGCGUCUGAUACUGGAUGGCUUGAGUUCGGGAGAGGGAUGCGGAAUUCCAGGUGUAGCGGUGAAAUGCGUAGAUAUCGGGAGGAACACCAGUGGCGAAAGCGGCCACCUGGACUGCACCUGACGCUGACACGCGAAAGCUAGGGGAGCGAACGGG
This 253-nucleotide ribosomal RNA is filed under the name uncultured bacterium. RNAcentral describes it as "partial 16S ribosomal RNA". It matches the Rfam family "Bacterial small subunit ribosomal RNA", at positions 524 to 776 of the family's 1533-position model. The record is from RNAcentral.